CACGUAGGGGGCAAGCGUUGUCCGGAUUUAUUGGGCGUAAAGAGCUCGUAGGUGGUUCGGUAAGUCGGGUGUUAAACCCCCAGGCUCAACCUGGGGACGCCACUCGAUACUGCUGUGACUAGAGUCCGGUAGGGGAGCGUGGAAUUCCUGGUGUAGCGGUGAAAUGCGCAGAUAUCAGGAGGAACACCGGUGGCGAAGGCGGCAUCCUGGACCGACACUGACGCUGAGGAGCGAAAGCCAGGGGAGCAAACGGG
This 254-nucleotide ribosomal RNA is filed under the name uncultured bacterium. RNAcentral describes it as "partial 16S ribosomal RNA". It matches the Rfam family "Bacterial small subunit ribosomal RNA", at positions 524 to 776 of the family's 1533-position model. The record is from RNAcentral.